RNAcentral lists this ribosomal RNA (2902 nucleotides) under Escherichia coli. RNAcentral's name for it is "bacterial LSU rRNA". It matches the Rfam family "Bacterial large subunit ribosomal RNA". The record is from RNAcentral. Lineage: Bacteria; Pseudomonadati; Pseudomonadota; Gammaproteobacteria; Enterobacterales; Enterobacteriaceae.
UUAAGCGACUAAGCGUACACGGUGGAUGCCCUGGCAGUCAGAGGCGAUGAAGGACGUGCUAAUCUGCGAUAAGCGUCGGUAAGGUGAUAUGAACCGUUAUAACCGGCGAUUUCCGAAUGGGGAAACCCAGUGUGUUUCGACACACUAUCAUUAACUGAAUCCAUAGGUUAAUGAGGCGAACCGGGGGAACUGAAACAUCUAAGUACCCCGAGGAAAAGAAAUCAACCGAGAUUCCCCCAGUAGCGGCGAGCGAACGGGGAGCAGCCCAGAGCCUGAAUCAGUGUGUGUGUUAGUGGAAGCGUCUGGAAAGGCGCGCGAUACAGGGUGACAGCCCCGUACACAAAAAUGCACAUAUUGUGAGCUCGAUGAGUAGGGCGGGACACGUGGUAUCCUGUCUGAAUAUGGGGGGACCAUCCUCCAAGGCUAAAUACUCCUGACUGACCGAUAGUGAACCAGUACCGUGAGGGAAAGGCGAAAAGAACCCCGGCGAGGGGAGUGAAAAAGAACCUGAAACCGUGUACGUACAAGCAGUGGGAGCACGCUUAGGCGUGUGACUGCGUACCUUUUGUAUAAUGGGUCAGCGACUUAUAUUCUGUAGCAAGGUUAACCGAAUAGGGGAGCCGAAGGGAAACCGAGUCUUAACUGGGCGUUAAGUUGCAGGGUAUAGACCCGAAACCCGGUGAUCUAGCCAUGGGCAGGUUGAAGGUUGGGUAACACUAACUGGAGGACCGAACCGACUAAUGUUGAAAAAUUAGCGGAUGACUUGUGGCUGGGGGUGAAAGGCCAAUCAAACCGGGAGAUAGCUGGUUCUCCCCGAAAGCUAUUUAGGUAGCGCCUCGUGAAUUCAUCUCCGGGGGUAGAGCACUGUUUCGGCAAGGGGGUCAUCCCGACUUACCAACCCGAUGCAAACUGCGAAUACCGGAGAAUGUUAUCACGGGAGACACACGGCGGGUGCUAACGUCCGUCGUGAAGAGGGAAACAACCCAGACCGCCAGCUAAGGUCCCAAAGUCAUGGUUAAGUGGGAAACGAUGUGGGAAGGCCCAGACAGCCAGGAUGUUGGCUUAGAAGCAGCCAUCAUUUAAAGAAAGCGUAAUAGCUCACUGGUCGAGUCGGCCUGCGCGGAAGAUGUAACGGGGCUAAACCAUGCACCGAAGCUGCGGCAGCGACGCUUAUGCGUUGUUGGGUAGGGGAGCGUUCUGUAAGCCUGUGAAGGUGUACUGUGAGGUAUGCUGGAGGUAUCAGAAGUGCGAAUGCUGACAUAAGUAACGAUAAAGCGGGUGAAAAGCCCGCUCGCCGGAAGACCAAGGGUUCCUGUCCAACGUUAAUCGGGGCAGGGUGAGUCGACCCCUAAGGCGAGGCCGAAAGGCGUAGUCGAUGGGAAACAGGUUAAUAUUCCUGUACUUGGUGUUACUGCGAAGGGGGGACGGAGAAGGCUAUGUUGGCCGGGCGACGGUUGUCCCGGUUUAAGCGUGUAGGCUGGUUUUCCAGGCAAAUCCGGAAAAUCAAGGCUGAGGCGUGAUGACGAGGCACUACGGUGCUGAAGCAACAAAUGCCCUGCUUCCAGGAAAAGCCUCUAAGCAUCAGGUAACAUCAAAUCGUACCCCAAACCGACACAGGUGGUCAGGUAGAGAAUACCAAGGCGCUUGAGAGAACUCGGGUGAAGGAACUAGGCAAAAUGGUGCCGUAACUUCGGGAGAAGGCACGCUGAUAUGUAGGUGAAGUCCCUCGCGGAUGGAGCUGAAAUCAGUCGAAGAUACCAGCUGGCUGCAACUGUUUAUUAAAAACACAGCACUGUGCAAACACGAAAGUGGACGUAUACGGUGUGACGCCUGCCCGGUGCCGGAAGGUUAAUUGAUGGGGUUAGCGCAAGCGAAGCUCUUGAUCGAAGCCCCGGUAAACGGCGGCCGUAACUAUAACGGUCCUAAGGUAGCGAAAUUCCUUGUCGGGUAAGUUCCGACCUGCACGAAUGGCGUAAUGAUGGCCAGGCUGUCUCCACCCGAGACUCAGUGAAAUUGAACUCGCUGUGAAGAUGCAGUGUACCCGCGGCAAGACGGAAAGACCCCGUGAACCUUUACUAUAGCUUGACACUGAACAUUGAGCCUUGAUGUGUAGGAUAGGUGGGAGGCUUUGAAGUGUGGACGCCAGUCUGCAUGGAGCCGACCUUGAAAUACCACCCUUUAAUGUUUGAUGUUCUAACGUUGACCCGUAAUCCGGGUUGCGGACAGUGUCUGGUGGGUAGUUUGACUGGGGCGGUCUCCUCCUAAAGAGUAACGGAGGAGCACGAAGGUUGGCUAAUCCUGGUCGGACAUCAGGAGGUUAGUGCAAUGGCAUAAGCCAGCUUGACUGCGAGCGUGACGGCGCGAGCAGGUGCGAAAGCAGGUCAUAGUGAUCCGGUGGUUCUGAAUGGAAGGGCCAUCGCUCAACGGAUAAAAGGUACUCCGGGGAUAACAGGCUGAUACCGCCCAAGAGUUCAUAUCGACGGCGGUGUUUGGCACCUCGAUGUCGGCUCAUCACAUCCUGGGGCUGAAGUAGGUCCCAAGGGUAUGGCUGUUCGCCAUUUAAAGUGGUACGCGAGCUGGGUUUAGAACGUCGUGAGACAGUUCGGUCCCUAUCUGCCGUGGGCGCUGGAGAACUGAGGGGGGCUGCUCCUAGUACGAGAGGACCGGAGUGGACGCAUCACUGGUGUUCGGGUUGUCAUGCCAAUGGCACUGCCCGGUAGCUAAAUGCGGAAGAGAUAAGUGCUGAAAGCAUCUAAGCACGAAACUUGCCCCGAGAUGAGUUCUCCCUGACUCCUUGAGAGUCCUGAAGGAACGUUGAAGACGACGACGUUGAUAGGCCGGGUGUGUAAGCGCAGCGAUGCGUUGAGCUAACCGGUACUAAUGAACCGUGAGGCUUAACCUU